CAGUCGCCGCGGUAAUACAUAGGGUGCGAGCGUUAAUCGGAAUUACUGGGCGUAAAGCGGGCGCAGACGGUUACUUAAGCAGGAUGUGAAAUCCCCGGGCUCAACCUGGGAAUUGCGUUCUGAACUGGGUGGCUAGAGUGUGUCAGAGGGGGGUAGAAUUCCACGUGUAGCAGUAAAAUGCGUAGAGAUGUGGAGGAAUACCGAUGGCGAAGGCAGCCCCCUGGGAUAGCACUGACGUUCAUGCCCGAAAGCGUGGGUAGCAAACAGGAUUAGAGACCCCAGUAGUCCCUGUCUCUUAUAC
This 301-nucleotide ribosomal RNA is filed under the name uncultured bacterium. RNAcentral describes it as "partial 16S ribosomal RNA". It matches the Rfam family "Bacterial small subunit ribosomal RNA", at positions 509 to 807 of the family's 1533-position model. The record is from RNAcentral.